ACUUAAAUUGAAGAGUUUGAUCAUGGCUCAGAUUGAACGCUGGCGGCAGGCCUAACACAUGCAAGUCGAGCGGUAGCACAGAGAGCUUGCUCUCGGGUGACGAGCGGCGGACGGGUGAGUAAUGUCUGGGAAACUGCCUGAUGGAGGGGGAUAACUACUGGAAACGGUAGCUAAUACCGCAUAACGUCGCAAGACCAAAGUGGGGGACCUUCGGGCCUCAUGCCAUCAGAUGUGCCAGAUGGGAUUAGCUAGUAGGUGGGGUAACGGCUCACCUAGGCGACGAUCCCUAGCUGGUCUGAGAGGAUGACCAGCCACACUGGAACUGAGACACGGUCCAGACUCCUACGGGAGGCAGCAGUGGGGAAUAUUGCACAAUGGGCGCAAGCCUGAUGCAGCCAUGCCGCGUGUGUGAAGAAGGCCUUCGGGUUGUAAAGCACUUUCAGCGGGGAGGAAGGCGUUAAGGUUAAUAACCUUGGCGAUUGACGUUACCCGCAGAAGAAGCACCGGCUAACUCCGUGCCAGCAGCCGCGGUAA
Molecule: ribosomal RNA, 534 nt
Filed under: Klebsiella pneumoniae subsp. pneumoniae KpMDU1
Lineage: Bacteria; Pseudomonadati; Pseudomonadota; Gammaproteobacteria; Enterobacterales; Enterobacteriaceae
Description: bacterial SSU rRNA
Rfam family: Bacterial small subunit ribosomal RNA
Source: RNAcentral